AAAUGUGUUGCAUACAUAGCUGAAAAUUGUGAGCAAUAUUUAAAGUAAGUUAAAACUUAUAAGCAUUCAUAAUACAUAAGCCUGUUUUUUCAAUCUUAAACAAAAAAACAUAUUUUUUAUGUCCUAAAAACAUUUAUAAUUAUAAAUCAUAACUGGGGCAAGAUGCGCAAUUGAAGAAAAUGCCCUCACACUGUAUGCACAACUACUGAAGGAGUACAUUUAACAGAAACUACACAAUACACAGUGAUGUUAGUAUCGUUCAAAAGGAGGAAUGCAAAUGAAAAAGUCUUCAGCAAACUCAAUCCAUCAAUUUUAAAUGAUACCAUUCAUUCUGUUCUUUGGGCAUGCAACAGAAGCGAUGUUGUGUUAUUCCAUCCGAGACAGCAGCCUAGCACCACACAAAGGACAACAGGAGGCCUUUCUCAGCCUAGAUUGCGAGAGAAAAAUAAACAAAGAAAGUGUUUAUUUGUGAUGAUUUUGCUCUAGAUGGACUUCAUGUGUGGAAAAGCUCAGGCAGAGUUUGACGCACCUUUAUUUUUUCGAAGAAACGGAUGCAGCAUCUCUCAGCCCCCUCCAAAAUCUUGCAAAGGUACAAAUAUGCAAGUUUUCAUAGAUAAAUGUGUAUUUAGAUAACUUGCUCCAGCUUGGUUGCCAUAGUCCAAUUAGAGAAUAUUUUGAAAUCAUCUCCAUGACAACUAAUCAUCAGUUAAUAAUUUAAUUUUAAAGCAGGUCCAGAAAGAAGCAACUAAUUUAUGUUCACAUAUUUCUCUCGUCUAAUAGUAAGUAGCAAGCUAGACAAAAUUAGCCUCAACAGCGGAUGCAACUAUUUCUCACGGCCAAGGAUCAUCUUGUAAGUAGGGGAAAAAUUGAAAAUAAUGCAAGUCAUUAUUUAAAAGCGUAUCCAGGUAGACCUUUUAAGAGGCAAUACGUUAGAACAAUCAUGAGUAUCCAUCUACGUACUAAUUAAAUAUCACCUCAUAGACUCAUAGUAACUGCAUAUAACCUGAUAAUAGCCUUUUUAAGAAUAUUUUGGGUCUCGUCACAUGGUGAAGAUAGCUAGCUAAACCGUAUAUGUAAUAUAAAAAGAAGUUCUUCAAUAAAAUUAAAGCAGAUGUUGGCUAAUAUAAAAUUAAAUGAAAGUAUGAUUUAUCCAAGUGUUGACGUGAUAGCAAAUAUGACAGGGCCGUAUAUUUCUUAUAAUAGGUAUAUUAUUGGUCGACACUAAUGGAGACUGCAAAUAUACAGAGCAUCAUCCCUACCCACACUUAAACAGGAGUAGCGACAAUGUUUUUUUCGUAUGAUUAUAUGUACAAAAGUGUCAAAAAAACAUCGUGGAGGCUUACAAAUCCAAUCAGUAUUCAUCUCCAGUUGUGUGACCAUCUUCUGUCUUUUAGAUCAUAUUACUCCACUUACUAAGGAGACACAUACCAAACUGAAAUACUCUAGCUAUGCAAAUCAAGAUUACAAUGGGAGAUCAAUGCACAAACACAUAGGCUGCAUUUUUUGAGAGAAAAACAUCCACCAACUCAACCCCAUCAAUGCUUCUCUAAUCACAGAUAUGACUACUCCUCUGUCCACACACACACACACAAUAGAUCUGUACGUGGAUUAGAAAGGGAAAAAAAGGUAUAUCG
RNAcentral lists this long non-coding RNA (1634 nucleotides) under Triticum aestivum (bread wheat). RNAcentral describes it as "long non-coding RNA (TAES_LNC017983)". The record is from RNAcentral. Lineage: Eukaryota; Viridiplantae; Streptophyta; Magnoliopsida; Poales; Poaceae.